Molecule: non-coding RNA, 28 nt
Filed under: Mus musculus (house mouse)
Lineage: Eukaryota; Metazoa; Chordata; Mammalia; Rodentia; Muridae
Source: RNAcentral
UAACCUAUGUCUGGAAGUGUGUGGAUUG